UUGAAAGUUUCCAAGAGAACUCCAUCACAAAUGACUAUCUGAUAAUCAGGACAAAGGAUGAAGAGAAAUACCUGCGUCUGGUGUACAUUAGAACAGAGCAAAGAAAAGUGCUCAAUAAACUGGAGAAGGAAAUCCUACAGAGAAAGAAGCUGAUCUACAAUUCCCUCAGUGAUUCAAUCCGUGACACCAUGAAGCAAACAUAUCAAGAAUGCUCUGGCAUCACAGGAAAAGACUCUUUCAGAAAGAUUCAAGAGAAACUUAAAAGUGCAAUUGAGGAUUUCAAAAAGACCAUGUUCCAAAAUGCCAUGACGAAGAUGCUGGAAGAGUUCAGUGAUCUGCAGAAAUACCUUGUGGAUGAAAUUAAGACACAGAUGACAAACGCCUUGACGCUGGGUUUAAACCAGAUCCCUGAGGACCUGACUGGCCUCCCAGGUAACCAGUGGAAGCCACUCUAGGACUGUGAGAGGAUGUGACAGGGCACUCUGUACUGAUCCAAAUCUUCAAACUGAGUGUUUCCGACCAGGGCCCUGUUUUCCUGAAAUGAUCUACACACUGAGAUCAUCAAAGGUUUUCCUCAU
This is a long non-coding RNA of Conger conger (European conger), 578 nucleotides long. RefSeq lists it as uncharacterized. The transcript is spliced from 4 exons. Lineage: Eukaryota; Metazoa; Chordata; Actinopteri; Anguilliformes; Congridae. The record is from RefSeq and is a predicted model, not a curated record.